UGACUUUCUAGUGACUAGGACAAGGUCAGACAAGCACGUGUUCAGCUGUUAUGGCUGCUGACAGUGGCAGGCAUCUGACCUUAGUGACUAAGACAAGGUUAGACAAGCUGUUAUGGCUGCUGAAAUGGGAAGCUGAUCCCUUCAAGAUGUCUUAUGAAGAUAAAUGCCCUCCAGAGGAGUUCCGAAAUGGGCAUCAUUUUCCAUGGAAAUGGCGUUAUGGAUGAUUUUGAACCACCAUGUAGGUGCUGGGAACUGAAGUCCUCUGAAAGAGCAGCCAUUGCUCUUAACUGCUGAGUCAUCUUUCCGGCCCGCUUCAGAGAAUUGUAAAUUUGACUGAAGAGGACUGGUGUACAUGAAGGAUUCCAGAAAACUUGCCAAGACAUAUCAGCUCCAGGGGGCAGCCAAAUACUCCUCUGUGGACUCUACAACUUCUGUUUACAGUGUGCACUUUGAACUUU
Molecule: long non-coding RNA, 458 nt
Filed under: Cricetulus griseus (Chinese hamster)
Lineage: Eukaryota; Metazoa; Chordata; Mammalia; Rodentia; Cricetidae
Description: lncRNA (ENSCGRG00015042782.1)
Source: RNAcentral